GCGGGUGUGUUGGAAUUGGCAGACGAGCUGGCUUCAGGUGCCAGUGUCCGCAAGGACGUGUGGGUUCAAAUCCCACCACCCGCACCA
Molecule: transfer RNA, 87 nt
Rfam family: tRNA
About the family: Transfer RNA (tRNA) molecules are approximately 80 nucleotides in length. Their secondary structure includes four short double-helical elements and three loops (D, anti-codon, and T loops).